Molecule: long non-coding RNA, 3462 nt
Organism: Scylla paramamosain (green mud crab)
Lineage: Eukaryota; Metazoa; Arthropoda; Malacostraca; Decapoda; Portunidae
Exons: 5
Source: RefSeq, a predicted model, not a curated record
GAGAGAAGCACCGAAUCAGAUGAAAUGGAGUGAGGGACGCGCCACACCAGACACCACACUCACCACACACAACGCACUAAAUGUAACACUCCUCCACCCACGUGAACAUAAGAAAGAUGCCGCACUCAACAAACACACCGCGCCAAAUGUAACGCGAACAUAAGAAAAUAAGAUUGCAAAAUGUCAGGUAACCUACGCUAGGCGCUUAAAACUUACCAUCUGUCAUUUUCGUGUGUGAGAGAGAGAGAGAGAGAGAGAGAGAGAGAGAGAGAGAGAGAGAGAGAGAGAGAGAGAGAGCGGUAUAACCAAAGCUAAGUAUUAUUAGAAUUUUGUUCUCCUAUUUCUUACGCUUCUAUUUACGAAACUCAACACUGCUUUGUUGUAAGGGAUCACGUACCGCUUUCUAGACUAGCGUAUUAUUGUGCGUAUACCUGUAUCGAGGCAGCAGAACAUCGCUUUUCUCAUCCAAGAACAAGAGUAGCAGUAAGUGGACGUGGAAAGAAAAGAUAAAAAUAAAAAUCCCACUACAAUUCAUUUUAUUUUUACUUGGGAUGGCAACGUUUUUCUAGCCAGAUUUAAUUAUAUUUUACAUCUUCACGAUUAAGAAAAAAAAAAAAAAAAGGUAUCUCACCUGCAUCCUUCUCCCUCUUCCUGCCCUCCCUCUUCCCCUCCCCCAGGUCCCUCCGCCUACGUGGACUGACUUUCCGACGAGUUUCUAAGUCCUCAAAGUCGUGCAGUGAAGUUCGCGCCUAAAGGUCCGGGCAGCCUGACACCAUUUCAGGUCUUGUCAAAAAAAAAAAAAAAAAAAAAAAAAAAAAAAAAAAAAAAAAAAACCUUAGCACUUAGGAAACAAUCGAACUGAUAUUUCUUGAAAAUACUCUGAAGCUGAGUGAGUGAGUGAGUGAGUGACUGACUGACUUACUGACUGACUGACUGACUUACCAACUGACUGAGUAGGAGAAUGUGGAUGGUGGGAGAGAAGUGACAGGGAAGAAGGGAGGAACAGUUAAGCAAGAGAAGAUUGCAGGAAUGAGUAAUGGCUGACUGGGUCUGACUGACUGACUGACUGGUUAACUGGACGAUUGAGUAACAUUUAUAUUAUAGCUCACUGACAAGGAUGACUGACCGGAUGACUGGUUGCUUAACGAAGUUGCUUGACUAGCUGGCUGACUGACUAGUUAGGUGAUUAAGUAACUGACUGGGUAGGUUACUGGAUGACUCACUAGCUGGGUGACUAAGUAACUGACUGGGCGGGUGACUAGAUAACUAGCUGGCAGAAGUUAUCUAAUUAGCGCGCUUGUUGGCCUUUGUGUUGCAUCACAGGAAUCAUUAACCCAGUCACUCAAUAAUAACAGAUGCAUAUAUAUAAAGGUACUAGGCCUUGCUGGCGCCCGAGAGUGUAAGAAAGGCAGGAAAAGUGAGUGGCGAGUGUGUGGGGCGACACUGUACCCUCCCCACGGUUUUGGAGGACAAAGUGAAAGAUGGAGGCGGAAGGAAGGGCCAGUGAGCUGCGUAUGCUUGACCUCUGAGUGGACGUAAGGAAAAAAAAAAAAAAUGACACGUUUCGGAAAUAACUUGUAUCAUAAGUAGAGAACGUGCAUCCCGUUAAGCUGCCGCGCAUUGCAAGGCCACGAGAGUACGUGGUAUGAUCGCAAGUGACACGUCCGGAAAUCAGCGUUUAAUUGCGUGUGUCUUAAUAGAAAAAAAUAGCUGAUUUCCAAAUUAUACAUCAAAAUAUGACCUCGUCUAGUUCAGGAGAGUCCUUCGUAUAAAUGCACUGGUGUAUGUAUGUCUGUGUGAGUGUUAUUGCUAGUUAUCUCUCUCUCGCUCUCUCUCUCUCUCUCUCUCUCUCUCUCUGUCAGUAGUUGCACAGGUCUUCAAGGGUAUUUUUACGGUUUUAGUGACAGAUUAACAACAUUUCUACAUUAAUAACAGGAGAAACACCAUUGAAAACCCUGAUAAUCAUCUUUAUAGCUUUGAAAAACAGUCGUGAGGAGAGAGAGAGAGAGAGAGAGAGAGAGAGUAGGAGCAUUUCAGUUGAGCCUAUUCUGCCCUGGUUCGUGUUUGCUGCGGUGACACGGUGCCGCACUGAGUGAAGAUUGCGUUCAUAAUCACUUAUCAGGGGUGGAGUGGGGAAAGGAGAGUCAGGAAGUGAGGAUAUUUAUAUUAUUUGACAUAUUAUUUGAUAGCAUGUCAACUUGUGUGUGUGUGUGUGUGGGUGGGUGGGUGUUGGAUCAGUGACAGGUGGCGCUGGGGAGUUACCACGGCGAGCGGCCGGCUGGCUGCAGUGUUUUGGUCAGCACUGGUCAAUCUUGCCCUACACGCUCUAUUAACCAGUGUUUCCGUCUUCCUGACACCUUCUUCCUGCACCAAGCACCGUCAAGCAUCACCAGAGAGGCACGAGUACGUAAGCUAUCCAACAUCAGAACAGUAUAUGAAUAUGGCAAAUGCUGUUUUGACAUCAUUUCCUGCCAUCCUGAGAAACAGUGAUCUCGAGGAGCAUGAAUUGCAGCUGCAAUGGAAAUUGCGCAUCCAGCGCAAGUUUCAGAAUUCAAGAAAGAGGCAGGAUUCCUCAGUGACUGAGGUGAUGUUAAGGAAAAAGAAGAUCCCUUGCAUAGCGCCAAAAGAGACUACGUGUCCACUGAUGUAUGGAGUAAAGGCUUACCUUCCACCAAGGCCCCAUUCAGAAGAUGAUGAGUCAUUAGAGAGACAUAGACAGUGACUUGCUCUACAUUGGAUGAAGAAAGAUCCCGAGUUAGAUAAGAUAAUCAAGGAGUUCCUGAGAUUAGAACCACAAGCGGAUGAACCAGACCCAAGAGUAGCAGUUUUGAAAGGGCUGGAGAAAUAUAGGCUCCCAAUAAUUGCCAUUCUCAAAAAAAGAAAAGCAGUUCCUCUGUAUAUGGAAACCUUACUUGAACUCUAUGACCACGAUGAAAGUCAAUGCGAAUGCUUGCUUAGUUUUAUUGGGGUUACUUCACCUGCUUGGAGAAAGGAAAGACUCCAUUUUUACUAAGGUACCAGAAGAAGAACUAAGAACAGGGCAGUCAAGGUACCAGAAGAAGAACUAAGAACAGGGCAGUCUAGUGUGUAUUUGAUGGUGCACCUGUAGCUGAACCAACAUGUAUUUCUAUGGCUGUAGUCUCAUUGGUAGCAGGGCUUUGUGUUUAAUAUUGAACACCCAAAAAAUUGUGAACAUUUCCUCCGUUUCACAACAUCCCAUCUCUUAGGUAUCAAGUAUGACAAAGGUAACACUUCAAAAACAAGAUCUCUACUUGUAAAACUCAAUGAAGUAAAGACAGAAUUGAGCUACAAAAAUGCAUAAAUCUGCUUCCAAAUAUAUUCAACUCCACACAUAAUGCCUCUCUCUCUCUCUCUCUCUCUCUCUCUCUCUCUCUCUCUCUCUCUCUCUCUCUCUCACACACACACACACACACACACACACACACACACACACACACACAC